This 439-nucleotide ribosomal RNA is filed under the name uncultured bacterium. RNAcentral's name for it is "partial 16S ribosomal RNA". It matches the Rfam family "Bacterial small subunit ribosomal RNA", at positions 338 to 795 of the family's 1533-position model. The record is from RNAcentral.
CCUACGGGAGGCAGCAGUGGGGAAUAUUGCACAAUGGGGGAAACCCUGAUGCAGCGACGCCGCGUGAGUGAAGAAGUAUCUCGGUACGUAAAGCUCUAUCAGCAGGGAAGAAAAUGACGGUACCUGACUAAGAAGCCCCUGCUAACUACGUGCCAGCAGCCGCGGUAAUACGUAGGGGGCAAGCGUUAUCCGGAUUUACUGGGUGUAAAGGGAGCGUAGACGGCAGCACAAGUCUGGAGUGAAAUCCCGGGGCUCAACACCGGCAUGCCGUUGAAACUGGUCUUCUUGAGUGAGCGAGAGGUAUGCAGAAUGCGUGGUGUAGCGGUGAAAUGCAUAGAGAUCACGCAGAACUCCGAUUGCGAAGGCAGCAUACCGGAGCUCAACUGACGCUGAGGCACGAAAGCGUGGGGAUCGAACAGGAUUAGAUACCCCAGUAGUC